AGCGAACGCUGGCGGCAGGCUUAACACAUGCAAGUCGAGCGGGCACUUUCGGGUGUCAGCGGCGGACGGGUGAGUAACGCGUGGGAACGUGCCCUCUGGUUCGGAAUAACUCAGGGAAACUUGAGCUAAUACCGGAUACGCCCUUUUGGGGAAAGGCUUGCUGCCGGAGGAUCGGCCCGCGUCUGUUUAGCUAGUUGGUGAGGUAACGGCUUACCAAGGAGACGAGCAGUAGCUGGUCUGAGAGGAUGAUCAGCCACACUGGGACUGAGACACGGCCCAGACUCCUACGGGAGGCAGCAGUGGGGAAUAUUGGACAAUGGGCGCAAGCCUGAUCCAGCCAUGCCGCGUGAGUGAUCAAGGCCUUAGGGUUGUAAAGCUCUUUUAUCCGGGACGAUAAUGACGGUACCGGGGGAAUAAGCCCCGGCUAACUUCGUG
RNAcentral lists this ribosomal RNA (435 nucleotides) under uncultured bacterium. RNAcentral describes it as "partial 16S ribosomal RNA". It matches the Rfam family "Bacterial small subunit ribosomal RNA", at positions 29 to 507 of the family's 1533-position model. The record is from RNAcentral.